CUUUUCUUUCUCUUUUUGCACUUGCCCCCAUUCAGCCGGACGCCGCAGCCUAUCAUCGACUCCAAAAUGACAACAAGCUUCGGAGUGGACCACAACACAUGAGAGACAUCACAACAGCAGAUACUUCACCACAGAGGCGUUUCCUCUUCAAAGUGGAUGUCAGCAGAAGGAGAGGAAAAUCACUUAAUGCAAUGCAGCCACUUCAACGUCUCCUCAAAGUCCUUCGGAAGGCUUGUUUGUUUUCCUGCUCUGAGCUGAGCCAAAAAG
This is a long non-coding RNA of Syngnathus acus (greater pipefish), 267 nucleotides long. RefSeq lists it as uncharacterized. The transcript has 2 exons. Lineage: Eukaryota; Metazoa; Chordata; Actinopteri; Syngnathiformes; Syngnathidae. The record is from RefSeq and is a predicted model, not a curated record.